AACGAACGCUGGCGGCAGGCCUAACACAUGCAAGUUGAACGCCGUAGCAAUACGGAGUGGCAGACGGGUGAGUAACACGUGGGAACGUACCCUUCGGUUCGGAAUAACUCAGGGAAACUUGAGCUAAUACCGGAUACGUCCGAGAGGAGAAAGAUUUAUCGCCGAGGGAUCGGCCCGCGUCUGAUUAGCUUGUUGGUGAGGUAACGGCUCACCAAGGCGACGAUCAGUAGCUGGUCNGAGAGGAUGAUCAGCCACAUUGGGACUGAGACACGGCCCAAACUCCUACGGGAGGCAGCAGUGGGGAAUAUUGGACAAUGGGCGCAAGCCUGAUCCAGCCAUGCCGCGUGAGUGAUGAAGGCCCUAGGUUGUAAAGCUCUUUUACCCGGGAAGAUAAUGACUGUACCGGGAGAAUAA
This 414-nucleotide ribosomal RNA is filed under the name uncultured bacterium. RNAcentral describes it as "bacterial SSU rRNA". It matches the Rfam family "Bacterial small subunit ribosomal RNA", at positions 29 to 489 of the family's 1533-position model. The record is from RNAcentral.